Molecule: ribosomal RNA, 490 nt
Filed under: uncultured bacterium
Lineage: Bacteria
Description: partial 16S ribosomal RNA
Rfam family: Bacterial small subunit ribosomal RNA
Source: RNAcentral
AUUGAACGCUGGCGGCAGGCCUAACACAUGCAAGUCGAACGGUAACAGGAAGCAGCUUGCUGCUUCGCUGACGAGUGGCGGACGGGUGAGUAAUGUCUGGGAAACUGCCUGAUGGAGGGGGAUAACUACUGGAAACGGUAGCUAAUACCGCAUAACGUCGCAAGACCAAAGAGGGGGACCUUAGGGCCUCUUGCCAUCGGAUGUGCCCAGAUGGGAUUAGCUAGUAGGUGGGAUAACGGCUCACCUAGGCGACGAUCCCUAGCUGGUCUGAGAGGAUGACCAGCCACACUGGAACUGAGACACGGUCCAGACUCCUACGGGAGGCAGCAGUGGGGAAUAUUGCACAAUGGGCGCAAGCCUGAUGCAGCCAUGCCGCGUGUAUGAAGAAGGCCUUCGGGUUGUAAAGUACUUUCAGCGGGGAGGAAGGGAGUAAAGUUAAUACCUUUGCUCAUUGACGUUACCCGCAGAAGAAGCACCGGCUAACUCCGUG